UGGCGUGGGCGGGCUGCAGCGGCGGGAACGACCCUGCCCGCACCGGCACCGACGCACUACGUGCCAUCUGGCGUGAGCAUGCCCGCCGCACACACCACCGCCACCACUACCACUCACGCACCGCGUCGCCAGGGAUGGGUUUCGGCGGCCUGUGCGCCCAGUGCCACCGUCGUCCCGACAGUGGUGAAUCGUGCGUGGCGUCCGCAUCGGUCCGUCCGGGUUUGGGUCGUCGCGCGCCGCGGUCGUCGUCUGCGAACUCACGCCGCACAUGCUGCUGCCGGACGCCGGUGCCGAGGACGACGACGACGAUGAAAAAACAUUCCAAGCAGCUUGAGAAGCGCAUCGACGACCAACGACAGCUGCUGCUGCAGCAGCGGUUACCGGGGGCGGCCGCCGACAAGCGGAGACCGUCGUUGUCGUCGUCGAAAUGCAAGAACGGCAUACUGAAAAACGAGUCCAGUCCCGAACUGUCGCGGCCCGCUUCCCGCAAAUCCAGACAGUACUUCUUGGAACCCAUCCGUCGGUGGAAUUCGUUCCACAACAGUCGCGAACGCAAGACCAACACCGCCGUGGCUGCUAGCACAGCCACCCCCGCCUCGCCGUCGUCGUCUUCCACUAACAACCUGCCGUACCUGCAGACCUUGGUCAACCUGCAGCGGGAGUCUAAGAGCGCUUGUGCCCGAUUCGCACAGUCCGUGUUGCCCAAAACGCCACGGGGAGCCGAAAGCGCGCCAGUCCUCAUCGGCGGGGCCUCUUCUAACUCCGUCUCUGCCACCUCCGAUGAUGGCCAGUCGCCGAAAUUGCUCCAGCAGACAAGCGUCGGAUGCCCGGCCAAAAAACAAAACUCCAGCCCGAACCUGUUGUUGGUAUACGACCGCCGGCAGCAGGGUGUCGCGGGAGUUAAUAUUGGUGGCGGCAACAGCCUGACGAAUUCACCCCGUCGGUCAGCCAGGAGGCCGAAAACGCCUCCGCCGCACCCUCACCACAGCCAACAACAACAACAACAACAACAGCUAGCGGCGGCGGUGGCUAAUAGCAGUAGUGCCGGCGGUGUGGGGUUGGACGCCACCGGUUCUUCGAAAAUACCGUUCGCCAUAAUGGUGGGUGACACGCCGGUCGUGUGCCAAGACACCGUGCCCAGAAUCAAGGCAAUCCGCGCCGAUUCGGUGACGGAGAAAUCGUCGUAUCUGGCUGUCGACUUGUCUCCGCACCGUCGAUACUCGUUUUGUUUUGGAAAACGAACCGGAAGCAACGCUAGACGACCCAACGAAUGUUUCGUGUUGGAACCAUCAGAGAUGCUGGUGAUGGAUUAUGCGGACUCUCAAAGCGGUCUGCGCUCGUUGAAUAUCCCCCGGCACACCGGCAUGGAACGUGGUGGGGCGAUCAACCUCGUAUUCGACGACAGCUAUAUUGCUGCGAUCCGGCCUGAACUAUACCAGAAAAGCAAUCGGAGUUCGCACAGCUCGGAUACCAGUUCGGCGUAUUCGGGCAGCGACACCAUGACCAGCGUGCAUUCGGGGAGCGUUUCUGUGGAGGCGGACGAGGUGGACCUGUCGGGACUUGUCGAGUCGAUCGUGGACUCGGACGAAGACGACCUGGGUGACAGCAGCGAGAGCCUCACCGUCCGGGACACGGUCCGGGAGUGCCUGGAGAAGGACCCGUCGGAGCGGGCCGAGGACGAUGUCGAGGUGCUGCUCGAGUUCACCCAGCACUUGAAGGCGUUCACCAACAUGACGCUGGCCGUGCGCCGGGCGCUGUGUAGCGUCAUGGUGUUCGCAGUCGUCGAGAAGGCCGGCACUGUGGUGAUGAAUGACGGUGAAGAGCUGGACUCAUGGAGUGUGCUGAUCAACGGCCACGUCGAGGUCGAGCACGCCGACGGCAUUCCCGAUCAGCUGCACAUGGGCGACAGCUUCGGCAUAGUGCCUACCAUGGAGCGGCUGUACCACAGGGGCGUGAUGAGAACUAAGUGCGACGACUGUCAGUUCGUUUGCAUCACGCAGACGGACUACUAUAGAAUACUCCACCAGGGCGAGGAGAACACCAAAAGACACGAAGACGACGGAGGCAAAUUGGUCAUGGUCACCGAACAAAGGGGUACGCUGGAAGCCGGCAGACGGGGUCACGUAGUCAUAAGGGGUACACCGGAGAGACUGAUGCUUCAACUGAUCGAAGAAAAUUCGGUUAUAGAUCCGACCUAUGUGGAAGAUUUUCUUUUAACGCAUCGGACUUUCAUUAAAAACUCGAUGGAAGUUGCCAACCAACUGUUAAAUUGGUUUAAUGAACCGUCUGCGAGAGACCGUGUUACUAGAGUGGUGCUACUGUGGGUCAACAAUCAUUUUACCGAUUUCGAAAUGGAUCCAGUGAUGAUGGACUUUGUAGAAAAGUUUGAAGCGUGCCUGGAAGAGAAUAAAAUGGGCGGACAAUUGAGAUUGUUAAACAUUGCUUGUGCUGCAAAGGCAAGAACUAGGUGCGUAACUCUAGCCAGACCGUCUAGAGAUCAGGUGCUACAUUUUUCCAUUUUGGGAGGAUAUGAGAGAGGAUUUGGAAUAUUUAUUUCAAAAGUCGAUAAAAAAUCGAAAGCUGAAGAGGUCGGUCUGAAACGAGGUGACCAAAUUUUAGAAGUUAAUGGACAAAGCUUUGAACAUGUAACCCAUACGCGUGCUUUAGAGAUCCUUCGAGGAACUACGCAUUUGAGUAUUACUGUCAAAUCUAAUCUUUUAGUGUUCAAAGAAAUGCUUGCAACUCCUGACAACUCACCUCGACCAAGAGGUCGACAAAAACCGUCUGUGGAAAUCGCUCGUCUUCAAGACGAUCCACGAGCACGGCCGUUGCUCACUGCUCAUCUUCCUCCUCCUAUCCAACAACCUAUUAAAACAAACGCAUCCAACACAUCAAGUGGCGGAGGUUUUAUGACUCUCGGCCCCAAGAAACGUCUUCAGCGGGCUCUGAUGAAAAUGAAUAUUUUACCAAAAAAUAUUAUUGGCGACGUGUAUGAUGAUAGUUCGGUGUCUGCUAAAUCUGACUCUAGCUCAAAUUUUAAACAGUCACAUAGCCACCCGGACUUGACUUCAAUAUCAUAUCUGGACGAUACAAGGGUAGCAGCAGAUUAUCCAGAACACGUAUUAAAAGUUUAUAAGCCUGAUCAGACUUGCAAAUACCUAUUGGUGCAUAAAGAAACUACAGCUCAUGAAGUUGUCAUGCUUGCAUUACAAGAAUUUGGAAUCACAGAACCGAGUUCCCUUUAUUCAUUAUGUGAAGUUUCAGUGUCAGAAGGAGGUAUAAUUAAACAAAGGAGGUUGCCAGACCAACUACAAAAUUUAGCAGAACGAAUUGGGCUUAGUAGUAGAUAUUACUUAAAAAAUGUCAGUAAUACUGAAACAUUAGUUGGAGAUGAACUUGCAGCUGAUUUAAUAAGGGAAAGUCAUGUACAUUUUUUGCAACUGAACGCUGUUGAAGUGGCGGUACAACUAACACUACAAGACUUUUCAAUAUUCAGGCAAAUUGAAGCUACAGAAUAUGUUGACGACCUUUUUCAAUUAGACAGUCGUUAUGGAACACCAAUGCUAUCCAAAUUUGCUGAAUUGGUGAAUACAGAAAUGUUUUGGGUUGUAACGGAAAUUUGCUCUGAACACAACCUUAUAAGACGGUCGAAAAUGAUCAAACAAUUUAUAAAAGUAGCACGUCAAUGUAAGGAAUGUAAAAAUUUUAAUUCUAUGUUUGCCAUCAUUUCCGGACUUGGACAUGGAGCUGUUAGCCGUUUACGCCAAUCGUGGGAAAAACUACCCACAAAAUAUCAAAGAUUAUUUAGUGAUCUUCAAGAUUUAAUGGACCCUUCACGAAACAUGAGUAAAUAUCGUCAACUAGUCAGCAAUGAACAAUCUCAACCCCCAAUUAUACCGUUUUAUCCAGUAGUUAAGAAAGAUCUAACGUUUAUUCAUCUUGGUAACGAUACACAUGUAGAAAGUUUAAUUAAUUUUGAAAAAUUAAGAAUGAUUGCCAAAGAAGUUAGAAAUCUAACAAACAUGUGCUCAUCACCUUACGACUUACUAACAAUGUUAGAACUUGGUGGACAACCUACAUCCAAUGCAAUGGUAGCUUUGAAUCAGCUUACUACAGGUGUAAGUGGAAGUGCUCAUCAGGGAGGUGCUGCCACAUUUAAAAGAAGAAAAAAGUCAACUGCUGCCCCAAACCCUAAAAAGAUGUUUGAAGAAUCCCAAAUGGUAAGAAGAGUCAAAGCUUAUCUGGCGAAAAUGAAGGUGCUCACUGAUGAAGAAAAAUUACACGAACUGUCAAUGAGUUGCGAAGGUUCUAGUACUGGUGGGUCUAUAAUGGGAUCUGGACCAAUAAGAAAACGACAUCCAUCACCUACGCUUUCAACAGCUAGUAGUGCUAGUAGUGCCAGUGAAGGAUUGAAAAAUACUGGUCCUAAAUUUGGCUCUGCUUCACCACAAGCUGUACGAAAGUUAUUGUCUUUGAGUGAACCAAGCAAAACGAGACUGCAUCAGCCCAGGUAUCAUAUGGCGCCUUCUCCUGGUCCACCAACUCGUCGCAACGUACACCAACCACCUAGUGUUCCAGCAACGUCUCAUGAACGUUCUCACUCAGACACAACCCCUCUUAACCCACCACCACCUUUACUCUUAUCAUCUGUUGAUCUGAAUGCUGAGAGCAGUAGUGUUACUAGUUUAUCAAACCUCUCACUAAGAAAGACUGUGACAUCCAUUUGUCCUAGCGGGUUCAGUGACAUCCAGCGAUUCAGGACACUCGACACAAACGAGCGGAUCAACAGAUGUUUGCAUGCCUCCAGGAGCAUCGCCUCCACCACCACUCCACUUAAGGAGACAUUCAGUACUUCAACCUCCAGCGAGUUAUCAGAUUGGAAACCGUCCUAUUUAUUCGUCGAACAUGCAAAUGAUGGGAACAUCGACCAACUGUGUGCGGACGAGACCACCACCAGCUUAUAACACGAGUGUUGCCCAAAUGGCAGCUAGGAUGCACCGUUUAGGUAGAGCACAUUCGCAUGAAGGUGUCACAUCAACAUAUUAUCUACGAGAUGAUGGUGAUGAUGAUGAUGACGACGAAGAUGCACAAGUAUCUGCUGUAUGACUAGUCAACCACCCAUGAUGUAAAAAUAAAAAUGGCCAUGAACAUAUCAAAACUAAAAUUGCUUGUAAAAAUUUAAAAAAUAUUAUUUCCAUUAAUUUUUAAGUACAAAUGUAUAAUUUGAAUAUAUUGUGUAUAUUAAGAUGUAUUCAAUGUAAUGGUAUAACGUUAAAGGUUUUUUUAAGGUUCUUCCAAAAUACUUAGUACCUAAUUUUCUUUUUAUCUUUUCUACCAAUUUUUCAAUUUUAAUUCGCGCGGAAUAACAAAUAUGUUAAAAAUAAAUACUGAUCUAGUUAUCAUUUUUAUUUUAUUUUUUUAUGUAUAUAUAUAUAUAGAUAAUAUGUAUCACUGUAUUUGUAAUUACCAUAAUAACGUGUUUUUUUUUUAUUUUGUUAUUUAAUUUUACUGACCAAAAUACAAAUUUCAAUCAUUAUUAUAGAACGUCUAAAUAUUAUAGUGUAAACUUAUCUUUCGAUAUAAGGAUAGAGUUAAUUUAAUUUAAGAGACACCUAUUAUUUACAUAAUAAUAUAAUAUGUAAUGAGUCUAUUGUUUUGGUCGAAAAAGUAUUAUUAUUUUUUACGCAAUUAUAAGUUAACUGGUUUAUCAAUUCGUCUAAACCAAUCACAUUAUGUAAUCUUAAUUAGAUCAUUGAUUUUAUGUUAUGAUUUAUACAUUAUUUUUUUCAUUUGUUUUAAAUUUUAUUCCUAAAUUUUAUAUUGUAUAUCUAACUUUGAAUUUUAAUUUAUGUAUUGUUGCUACUGACUGAGUAUGUGUAAAUCAUUCGUAAAGAUUAUCGUGUUUUUUAAA
Acyrthosiphon pisum (pea aphid) is the source of this 5911-nucleotide RNA transcript. It is a transcript of the gene named PDZ domain-containing guanine nucleotide exchange factor, with no coding region annotated. The record is from RefSeq and is a predicted model, not a curated record. Lineage: Eukaryota; Metazoa; Arthropoda; Insecta; Hemiptera; Aphididae. The transcript has 16 exons.